This 1722-nucleotide long non-coding RNA is filed under the name Gossypium barbadense (sea-island cotton). RNAcentral describes it as "long non-coding RNA (GBAR_LNC015420)". The record is from RNAcentral. Lineage: Eukaryota; Viridiplantae; Streptophyta; Magnoliopsida; Malvales; Malvaceae.
GCUCAUUCAUUGCCCACAUACCUGAAUAGCUAUUCCGUUCGGCUCUCUUUUUCCCAUUUUCCAAAUUUUGCCCUCCUUCAUCUUCUCCUUCAUCUGCCAUCAAACUCUCUACACAAUUUCUGCCCUCAAACUCUCUUGCCAUAUUUCAGAUAUUCUCAUUCAUCUUCUCCCACAAAUUUGUAACUUUCUCUCCUUCUGUUCCCAUAUUUCAGGUAAUGGCGUUUUUUCCUUAUUUGAUUUUUUCUUCUUUUAACGUUUCUCCUCUGUACUUUUUGAUCAUGUUCUUUUUUUUUUAAUUGAUUGUUUGCUUAAUGAACAUUUCUAUUCCCUCUCCUCUCCGUCGAAUGCUGAUUCGUUGUUUAAGAAAAUCAAUUUUACCCCCCUCAAUUUCUCGCCUAAAAAAUGCUCAGUUUCAGCCUCACCGACAACCACUCCCUUCCUUCCUUCAACUUCGGUAGAGGGAAAAACAAGCAGGUAGCCAAUCAAGCAUAUGAAUAUUUGAGUGAUGUUGCGUCUUCCUUCCCACAAUCAACGCUUCCAUCUCCUCAUUCGCAAUCUCUCCUCUUUUGCCUCCCAAACUACCAUUUUCGUGACCUCUAAACAAUUCCUCAAAAACCGUCCCCAAAAACCAUUCUUUCUUCCCUCUAAACGAUCCCUCUAAACGCUUCCUUCCCUCUCUUUCUUCCAAACCCAUCCCCAAAAACCAUUCUUUCUCGCUCAAGACUAAUGAGUUUUCUUCUCUUCCUUCUCCCAGUGUUUCUUCCCCCUCUCCAAGAAUUUUUUAUUUUUUGCAAAUACAGGAAAAAGGUUGUCGCUUGAUUGUUUAUUCAGUUCUUUCUCUAUUUAUCCUAAUUUUGUUAUAUAAGGAGUUAUUUUCUAUUUUCUGGUAUUAUCUGAUUGACUGUGUCAUUGAUUUUAGUAUUUGGUUGGUUGUCUUAUUUUAUAAUGUUUGAUUUUGGAAUUUUAAUAAACUUUUGUUACCACUCGAUGAGGAGGAUAAUAAAAAUAUAUCUGUUUAAAAAUGUAUCAUUGUUUUGCAUUGAAUUCAAGAUGAUCUCUUUUUGUGCAAAGGUGAAAAGAAUAUCUUUGAUGAUGAUCUGAUGAGACCAGACUAGGCUGAGUCAUUGUUGAAUGAAUACGUUAAUUGAGCAUGGUGAUUAUAACUUUGUUGAAACAUUCACUCUUUGGAGGUGAAUGAAAUUGUUGUGUAAUGAACAAAGGCUAAUGAUGUCGUAAUAGAUGAUUGGACCCAAAUAUUUAAUAAUUUUAGAGCAUCUGUACCUCUUCCAAACAUCAUAGCAUUCAACCUUCUCAGGUUUUGAACUUCUAAUAAUUUGUCUAAUGAAACAAUAUAUGAACAAGAGAGGAAACUCUAGGCAAGCUAAAAAUUUCCUCUUCAACUAACUCUUUAGGGCUAUUAUUACAUCUAUCACUAAAUUCAAGAUCAAAUUCAAGCCUAUGAUAGGUUCAAGAUAACGUCUCAAGAACAACUACCUGUUGCAACAGAUGCUUAAUAACAUAUGGUUUAUGACAUAUAAACUAAUGAAAUCAUGUAACUUUUUGUUAAUAUAUGAAUAUUAUGUUUGGAUGUCAAAUAUAAUUCUCAAGUUAUUUAUUACUUAUAAUAUUUUAUUUUUUUAUUGUAGAAUAAUUAAAUUAUUUAUUUCACUAAUGAUAUUUUAGCAUAUUAAAUAUGUAUUUCAGUUUAAAAAUAAUAAAGUA